This 524-nucleotide ribosomal RNA is filed under the name uncultured bacterium. RNAcentral's name for it is "partial 16S ribosomal RNA". It matches the Rfam family "Bacterial small subunit ribosomal RNA", at positions 355 to 895 of the family's 1533-position model. The record is from RNAcentral.
UGGGGAAUAUUGCACAAUGGGCGAAAGCCUGAUGCAGCAACGCCGCGUGAGUGAUGAAGGUCUUCGGAUUGUAAAGCUCUGUCUUUUGGGACGAUAAUGACGGUACCAAAGGAGGAAGCCACGGCUAACUACGUGCCAGCAGCCGCGGUAAUACGUAGGUGGCGAGCGUUGUCCGGAUUUACUGGGCGUAAAGGGUGCGUAGGCGGAUGUUUAAGUGAGAUGUGAAAUACCCGGGCUUAACUUGGGUGCUGCAUUUCAAACUGGAUAUCUAGAGUGCAGGAGAGGAGAAUGGAAUUCCUAGUGUAGCGGUGAAAUGCGUAGAGAUUAGGAAGAACACCAGUGGCGAAGGCGAUUCUCUGGACUGUAACUGACGCUGAGGCACGAAAGCGUGGGUAGCAAACAGGAUUAGAUACCCUGGUAGUCCACGCCGUAAACGAUGAGUACUAGGUGUAGGAGGUAUCGACCCCUUCUGUGCCGCAGUAAACACAUUAAGUACCCCGCCUGGGAAGUACGAUCGCAAGAUU